This 214-nucleotide long non-coding RNA is filed under the name Elaeis guineensis (African oil palm). Its description in RNAcentral is "long non-coding RNA (EGUI_LNC029859)". The record is from RNAcentral. Lineage: Eukaryota; Viridiplantae; Streptophyta; Magnoliopsida; Arecales; Arecaceae.
UUUCUGUUGCGGCUUCAAUGUUCUUUGCUCAUCAAGCAGUCUUUUCCUUUGAUCUCACUUCUGUGUGGGUGUUUGUAUGCAUAUAUUUUUUUUGUGUACGUUAAGUUUGAGGUUUUUACAAUACGGAUCUUCUGUUGUACACCACACAAUAUGAUGCACAACACGUCCUGUCCAUCAUGCGAUGGACGACUGCACACAAUGGGUGUGCAUCUGC